RNAcentral lists this ribosomal RNA (303 nucleotides) under uncultured bacterium. RNAcentral's name for it is "partial 16S ribosomal RNA". It matches the Rfam family "Bacterial small subunit ribosomal RNA", at positions 507 to 809 of the family's 1533-position model. The record is from RNAcentral.
AGCAGCCGCCGCGGUAAAACGUAGGUGGCGAGCGUUGUCCGGAAUUAUUGGGCGUAAAGGGAGCGCAGGCGGACAUAUAAGUCCAUCUUAAAAGUGCGGGGCUCAACCCCGUGAGGGGAUGGAAACUGUAUGCCUUGAGUGCAGGAGAGGAAAGCGGAAUUCCCAGUGUAGCGGUGAAAUGCGUAGAUAUUGGGAGGAACACCAGUGGCGAAGGCGGCUUUCUGGACUGUAACUGACGCUGAGGCUCGAAAGCCAGGGGAGCGAACGGGAUUAGAUACCCCAGUAGUCCCUGUCUCUUAUACA